CGCGUAGGCGGUUUGUUAAGUUGGAUGUGAAAACUCUGGGCUUAACCCAGAGCCUGCAUCCAAAACUAGCAAGCUAGAGUUCUGGAGGGGAUAGCGGAAUUCCUGGUGUAGCGGUGAAAUGCGUAGAUAUCAGGAGGAACACCGGUGGCGAAGGCGGUUAUCUGGACAGAAACUGACGCUGAGGCGCGAAAGCUAGGGGAGCAAACAGGAUUAGAUACCCUGGUAGUCCUAGCCCUAAACGAUGGAUACUUGGUGUGACUGGGAUUGAAUCCAGUCGUGCCGAAGCUAACGCAUUAAGUAUCCCGCCUGGGGAGUACGGUCGCAAGGCUGAA
This 332-nucleotide ribosomal RNA is filed under the name uncultured Acidobacteriaceae bacterium. Its description in RNAcentral is "bacterial SSU rRNA". It matches the Rfam family "Bacterial small subunit ribosomal RNA", at positions 568 to 898 of the family's 1533-position model. The record is from RNAcentral. Lineage: Bacteria; Pseudomonadati; Acidobacteriota; Terriglobia; Terriglobales; Acidobacteriaceae.